This 445-nucleotide ribosomal RNA is filed under the name uncultured bacterium. Its description in RNAcentral is "partial 16S ribosomal RNA". It matches the Rfam family "Bacterial small subunit ribosomal RNA", at positions 354 to 796 of the family's 1533-position model. The record is from RNAcentral.
GUGAGGAAUAUUGGUCAAUGGGCGAAAGCCUGAACCAGCCAUGUCGCGUGAAGGAUGAAGGUCCUAUGGAUUGUAAACUUCUUUUGCAGGAGGGUAAAGUGAGCUACGUGUAGUUCAUUGCAAGUACCCUGCGAAUAAGCAUCGGCUAACUCCGUGCCAGCAGCCGCGGUAAUACGGAGGAUGCGAGCGUUAUCCGGAUUUAUUGGGUUUAAAGGGUGCGUAGGCGGACUAAUUAGUCAGCGGUGAAAUUUUGCGGCUCAACCGUAAAACUGCCGUUGAAACUGUUAGUCUUGAGUGCGGUAGAGGUAGGCGGAAUGUGUGGUGUAGCGGUGAAAUGCUUAGAUAUCACACAGAACACCGAUUGCGUAGGCAGCUUACUGGAGCACAACUGACGCUGAGGCACGAAAGCGUGGGGAUCGAACAGGAUUAGAAACCCCGGUAGUCC